AACGCACAUUGCGCCCGCCAGCACUCUGGCGGGCAUGCCUGUCCGAGCGUCAUUUCAACCCUCGAGCCCCGCUCGGUGUUGGGGGGCCGUCCACAGCCGCUGUGGCCCCCGAAACUCAGUGGCGGGCUCGCCGCGGAUCCCAGGCGCAGUAGCGCAUCUCGCCUGGGGGCAGCGGCGGGCGCCUGCCGGCCAAGCAAGACGCGUGCCGUCUCCUAAUGAGGUUGACCUCGGAUCAGGUAGGAAUACCCGCUGAACUUAA
Molecule: unclassified non-coding RNA, 259 nt
Filed under: uncultured fungus
Lineage: Eukaryota; Fungi
Description: sequence contains ITS2
Source: RNAcentral